GACGAACGCUGGCGGCGCGCCUAACACAUGCAAGUCGAACGAGCGAGAGAGAGCUUGCUUUCUCAAGCGAGUGGCGAACGGGUGAGUAACGCGUGAGGAACCUGCCUCAAAGAGGGGGACAACAGUUGGAAACGACUGCUAAUACCGCAUAAGCCCACGGCUCGGCAUCGAGCAGAGGGAAAAGGAGCAAUCCGCUUUGAGAUGGCCUCGCGUCCGAUUAGCUAGUUGGUGAGGUAACGGCCCACCAAGGCGACGAUCGGUAGCCGGACUGAGAGGUUGAACGGCCACAUUGGGACUGAGACACGGCCCAGACUCCUACGGGAGGCAGCAGUGGGGAAUAUUGCACAAUGGGGGAAACCCUGAUGCAGCGACGCCGCGUGGAGGAAGAAGGUCUUCGGAUUGUAAACUCCUGUUGUUGAGGAAGAUAAUGACGGUACUCAACAAGGAAGUGACGGCUAACUACGUGCCAGCAGCCGCGGUAAAACGUAGGUCACAAGCGUUGUCCGGAAUUACUGGGUGUAAAGGGAGCGCAGGCGGAAAGACAAGUUGGAAGUGAAAUCCAUGGGCUCAACCCAUGAACUGCUUUCAAAACUGUUUUUCUUGAGUAGUGCAGAGGUAGGCGGAAUUCCCGGUGUAGCGGUGGAAUGCGUAGAUAUCGGGAGGAACACCAGUGGCGAAGGCGGCCUACUGGGCACCAACUGACGC
Molecule: ribosomal RNA, 705 nt
Filed under: uncultured Lachnospiraceae bacterium
Lineage: Bacteria; Bacillati; Bacillota; Clostridia; Lachnospirales; Lachnospiraceae
Description: bacterial SSU rRNA
Rfam family: Bacterial small subunit ribosomal RNA
Source: RNAcentral